GCGGGUAUAGUUCAGUGGUAAAACUCAACCUUCCCAAGGUUGCGUCGCGAGUUCGAUUCUCGUUACCCGCUUCU
This 74-nucleotide transfer RNA is filed under the name Limosilactobacillus fermentum. Its description in RNAcentral is "Lactobacillus fermentum tRNA-OTHER". It matches the Rfam family "tRNA". From Rfam's summary of the family: Transfer RNA (tRNA) molecules are approximately 80 nucleotides in length. Their secondary structure includes four short double-helical elements and three loops (D, anti-codon, and T loops). The record is from RNAcentral. Lineage: Bacteria; Bacillati; Bacillota; Bacilli; Lactobacillales; Lactobacillaceae.